This 468-nucleotide ribosomal RNA is filed under the name uncultured bacterium. Its description in RNAcentral is "bacterial SSU rRNA". It matches the Rfam family "Bacterial small subunit ribosomal RNA", at positions 28 to 507 of the family's 1533-position model. The record is from RNAcentral.
GACGAACGCUGGCGGCGUGCUUAACACAUGCAAGUCGAACGAUGAACCCGGAGCUUGCUCUGGGGGAUUAGUGGCGAACGGGUGAGUAACACGUGGGCAACCUGCCCCAGACACUGGGAUAACUUCGGGAAACCGAAGCUAAUACCGGAUACGACCACUUCAGGCAUCUGAUGGUGGUGGAAAGUUUUUCGGUCUGGGAUGGGCCCGCGGCCUAUCAGCUUGUUGGUGGGGUAAUGGCCUACCAAGGCGACGACGGGUAGCCGGCCUGAGAGGGCGACCGGCCACACUGGAACUGAGACACGGUCCAGACUCCUACGGGAGGCAGCAGUGGGGAAUAUUGCACAAUGGGCGCAAGCCUGAUGCAGCGACGCCGCGUGAGGGACGAAGGUCUUCGGAUUGUAAACCUCUCUCAGCAGGGACGAAGCGAAAGUGACUGUACCUGCAAAAGAAGCACCGGCUAACUACGUG